CGCACAAGCGGUGGAGCAUGUGGUUUAAUUCGAUGCAACGCGAAGAACCUUACCUACUCUUGACAUCCAGAGAAGCCAGCGGAGACGCAGGUGUGCCUUCGGGAGCUCUGAGACAGGUGCUGCAUGGCUGUCGUCAGCUCGUGUUGUGAAAUGUUGGGUUAAGUCCCGCAACGAGCGCAACCCUUAUCCUUGUUUGCCAGCGAGUAAUGUCGGGAACUCCAGGGAGACUGCCGGUGAUAAACCGGAGGAAGGUGGGGACGACGUCAAGUCAUCAUGGCCCUUACGAGUAGGGCUACACACGUGCUACAAUGGCGCAUACAGAGGGCAGCAAGCUAGCGAUAGUGAGCGAAUCCCAAAAAGUGCGUCGUAGUCCGGAUUGGAGUCUGCAACUCGACUCCAUGAAGUCGGAAUCGCUAGUAAG
This 421-nucleotide ribosomal RNA is filed under the name Vibrio sp. RNAcentral's name for it is "bacterial SSU rRNA". It matches the Rfam family "Bacterial small subunit ribosomal RNA", at positions 922 to 1342 of the family's 1533-position model. The record is from RNAcentral. Lineage: Bacteria; Pseudomonadati; Pseudomonadota; Gammaproteobacteria; Vibrionales; Vibrionaceae.